UACGUAGGGGGCAAGCGUUGUCCGGAUUUAUUGGGCGUAAAGAGCGUGUAGGCGGCCAGACAGGUCAGCUGUGAAAACUCGAGGCUCAACCUCGAGACGUCGGCGGAAACCCUCUGGCUAGAGUCCGGAAGAGGAGAGUGGAAUUCCUGGUGUAGCGGUGAAAUGCGCAGAUAUCAGGAAGAACACCCGUGGCGAAGGCGGCUCUCUGGGACGGUACUGACGCUGAGACGCGAAAGCGUGGGGAGCAAACAGG
This 253-nucleotide ribosomal RNA is filed under the name uncultured bacterium. Its description in RNAcentral is "partial 16S ribosomal RNA". It matches the Rfam family "Bacterial small subunit ribosomal RNA", at positions 524 to 776 of the family's 1533-position model. The record is from RNAcentral.